UACGAGCUAUGUAUGGUGUGCCACGCUU
RNAcentral lists this small RNA (28 nucleotides) under Bombyx mori (domestic silkworm). Its description in RNAcentral is "ovarian small RNA-21002". Lineage: Eukaryota; Metazoa; Arthropoda; Insecta; Lepidoptera; Bombycidae. The record is from RNAcentral.